This 253-nucleotide ribosomal RNA is filed under the name uncultured bacterium. RNAcentral's name for it is "partial 16S ribosomal RNA". It matches the Rfam family "Bacterial small subunit ribosomal RNA", at positions 524 to 776 of the family's 1533-position model. The record is from RNAcentral.
UACGAAGGGUGCUAGCGUUGUUCGGAAUCACUGGGCGUAAAGCGCGCGUAGGCGGCUAUUCAAGUCAGGGGUGAAAUCCUGGGGCUUAACCCCAGAAUUGCCUUUGAAACUGUAUAGCUAGAGUGUCGGAGGGGAUAGCGGAAUUGCUAAUGUAGAGGUGAAAUUCGUAGAUAUUAGCAGGAACACCGGUGGCGAAGGCGGCUAUCUGGACGACAACUGACGCUGAGGCGCGAAAGCGUGGGGAUCAAACAGG